Long non-coding RNA from Paramormyrops kingsleyae, 486 nucleotides. RefSeq lists it as uncharacterized. NCBI's taxonomy places the organism in Eukaryota, Metazoa, Chordata, Actinopteri, Osteoglossiformes, Mormyridae. The record is from RefSeq and is a predicted model, not a curated record.
AUUAUAGGAUUCACGGAGAAAUUUUGGUCAAUUCCGCUAAAAUUGGGUAGCUCUCAAAAUAACAACCAGUAAUUGGAAAUAUUACAAUCUGUUGUGAAUUUAAAGCUUAAAAUGACCAGGGGGAUAGAUGUUUUACUGCUAUAGUGAAGGCGAGGGCGUGUGAACUUUCUAAUUCUCUAAACGACGCCGUUAAGUGACGUAUUGAAGCGAUGCUUGUCAGAAAGGGUGCAGGAUGAGGAAGCCGUGCUGCUGCAAGAUGCAUCUCACUGGGUCGAUCCCAUGCCCUGCCUCCUGCUGUCGUCGUGGAGAUCUUGAGUCUGUCCCCUCGACCUCAGAGCUCAACCCACCCGCCCAAACCAUGACUGGUUAUCCAUCUGGGGACCUGCUGGUUCUCCUCUUGCAUGCAGGGUCACCUCUGCUCUCUGCUUCUUCGUGUCCACCAGCAGGUCCAGUAUGACAUUAAAGAUGCUCACAGUACAGCUGUUA